GGGGAUGUGGCUCAGUGGUAGAGCAUUUGACUAGCAUUUGUGAGGCCCUGGAUUCAAUCCCUAGCACCACCA
Molecule: non-coding RNA, 72 nt
Organism: Ictidomys tridecemlineatus (thirteen-lined ground squirrel)
Lineage: Eukaryota; Metazoa; Chordata; Mammalia; Rodentia; Sciuridae
Source: Rfam